UCACGUGAAAUGAAUCUUUUAAAAUUAUUACUAUUUUUAUUUAUAAAAAACUCAAUUCUCUAGAUAAAUAAAUGUACUCCAUAUGCACUCUAUAUUCCCAUUACCUAAUGCUGCAUACGAUCCGAACUUUAUCAAACUUGAACGCAAUAAAUCAAACUAGAAUAUAUUUGAGUAAUACGAUGGAAAUAACAUAUGUGCGUGUUCGCGAACAUAAUUAUACAUAUAAACUUCGCGAACAUAGUCCAACAUCAUGAACGUACUAAAGUAAAAAUUAGGCCAAAUAUUAUAAAUACUCGAAUAUCUCAUGAACUACUCAUGAAUCACUUAAAUCGAACUCGAACCGAACUAUUUGUGAACAGAGAUAAAUAACGUUUUGAUCACUGUAUUGGAGUCCGAUUUUCAUUGCGAUUAUCGAAACCUUUUUUGUUACAAUCGCGUAACUAUACUCUAAAAAACUUACCAAAUAGUAAUUCCUUACGAUUUCCGUCCAAAAAACGGACGGAAGUGCUGACUGUGCAUACACGUAAUUUUGAAAUGCUGAUGUGUACGUAUAUGCGUUGUCAUGUGUAUUAAUAAUAAUAAUAAAAUUUAAAUAAUAAUAAUAAAAAUAAUAAUAAUUUCAAAAUAAUAAUAAUUUUUAAAUAAUAAUAUAAAUUCAUUAAUUUUAUAUAAAUAUAUUUGUAAAAAUUAUUAUUAUUUUGUAAUUAUUAUUAUUAUUAUUUAAAAAUUAUUAUUAUUAAAUAAUAAUAUAAAUUCAUUAAUUUUAUAUAAAUACAUUUGUAAAAAUUAUUAUUACUAUUAUUAUUUAAAAAUUAUUAUUAUUAUUAUUAUCAACCCCUCAGCUCUGGCGAAGCCACCACCGGACCAUGGUUCCGGUUAAAACUCCAGCGCCACAUGAAACCUCAAAUAACAACACCAUCACCCAAAUCUGAUCAUACAACAUAGAUAAGCAAGAACUACACCAUGAGACCAGAUCGGAAAUACAAACAUCAAUACAAACCCACCGAAUCUGAACAUAAGCAAAGAUAAUCAAUAAAACAAAAUGCUAGAUCUGGAACGAAACCCACCGAAUCUGAACAUAAGCAAAGACUAACCAUCCAGAUCUGGAACGAAAGCCAGAUCCAAACCCACCAUCAAAACAUCUGAGAUCUCUCUCUCCCUCCUCCCUGAAUGACGCCCCUACCCUCUGACUUCACCCUCUGUUCUCUAAAGACGCCGCCGAACCUCUGUUCUCUCCCUCCUCCCUGAAUGACGCUCGUGAAAUCGGAGAGAAAAGGAGAGAGAAGAUAUCAGAGAGAAAAGGACGUCUGAGAGAGAAGAAGUGAAAUCAAUCUUUCAUUCUUAGUCUGAAGACAGGAACCAAGAUCAGUUGUAACAUAUUUUUGGGUUUUAUGGUGGAGAUAAUUUUAGUGAAUUGGGAGACAGAAAUUAAAGAGAAUAAUCUGUGCUCAAAAAGAAAGAAAAAGAAAUCCCAUUUACAGGAAUUGUUAGA
Molecule: long non-coding RNA, 1492 nt
Filed under: Panax ginseng (ginseng)
Lineage: Eukaryota; Viridiplantae; Streptophyta; Magnoliopsida; Apiales; Araliaceae
Description: long non-coding RNA (PGIN_LNC005212)
Source: RNAcentral